This 429-nucleotide ribosomal RNA is filed under the name Bacillota bacterium. RNAcentral describes it as "Firmicutes bacterium partial 16S ribosomal RNA". It matches the Rfam family "Bacterial small subunit ribosomal RNA", at positions 355 to 776 of the family's 1533-position model. Lineage: Bacteria; Bacillati; Bacillota. The record is from RNAcentral.
UAGGGAAUCUUCGGCAAUGGACGGAAGUCUGACCGAGCAACGCCGCGUGAGUGAAGAAGGUUUUCGGAUCGUAAAGCUCUGUUGUUAGAGAAGAACGUUGGUAGGAGUGGAAAAUCUACCAAGUGACGGUAACUAACCAGAAAGGGACGGCUAACUACGUGCCAGCAGCCGCGGUAAUACGUAGGUCCCGAGCGUUGUCCGGAGUUAUUGGGCGUAAAGCGAGCGCAGGCGGUUCUUUAAGUCUGAAGUUAAAGGCAGUGGCUUAACCAUUGUACGCUUUGGAAACUGGAGGACUUGAGUGCAGAAGGGGAGAGUGGAAUUCCAUGUGUAGCGGUGAAAUGCGUAGAUAUAUGGAGGAACACCGGUGGCGAAAGCGGCUCUCUGGUCUGUUACUGACGCUGAGGCUCGAAAGCGUGGGGAGCAAACAGG